UCUUUGGCAAGUCCAGUAUAAUUACCACCGUUAACACAAGUACUGCCAGUUAAAAGUUAAAAUGAUCCCCCUGUAAGCACAGCGUAGUUGGAGAUUUUUAGUUGGAGUUGGAGCUGUUGUUUGCGUUAGGGUGGGGUGUCAGGAGGCUAUUGUGUCUAGGGGAGCUUGAUUUCACAAUCCUUCCAUGUGUACUCACACACACACACACACACACACACACACAUACAGUAUACACAUGAGAAACAUAUUUACUGACAUGCAUUGGGUGUCACCAAAGAAUCCUUUCUUGUUCAAUCUCUCUCUCUCUCUUUCUCUCUCUAUCUCACACACAAACACACACACAAACUUGAUGUUCGAGUAGUUCAGACUGUGUGUAUUUUUCUCUUGCUGAACAUUUGUUAAACACUGAUUGAGUAAUGAAAGGGAGAACAUGCAAGACAGUUACAGAAGUAGGGUAUGGAGAGGACAUAAAAGCAUGACUUAUAGUUUGCAAGGAGUUGCAGGAGUAGGACAUGGAGAGAACCUGGGAGAUGUGCUUAUAUUAUAACAAUUAUUACAUUCGUUUUCUGUUUCUGAAUGCCUGUUGAGAUAUCUGCAUUUCAAGAGGGUGAUUGGCUGCAAUUGGUGGGUGAUUUAUUUUGCAGACUCAGCAACAGCCUAUCCUGGUGCCCUGCCAUGCUAGAACAAGUGAUGCAACAGCGCCCUCUGUGAUGAAAACAAGAGGAAAUGCCCUGUUGUCUGUACUUCACACAGGCUCAUUCGACUUCAUGCAGUGCAGAUAUGGCUGAAGGAUUCUUCUACUGUUCUGUGAGGGCUAAAACAAGAUGGCUUACAGUAUCUGCCAGACUGACUGCUGCUGUCAGGUAUCUAAAUUAUGUGCUAUGGAUAAUGUGGAGGCUUGUGCUCCUGCCAAAAUGAGUUACUGCUGGAUGGGCCUCUGAUUGGAGCAGUUGGAGG
Molecule: long non-coding RNA, 957 nt
Organism: Alosa sapidissima (American shad)
Lineage: Eukaryota; Metazoa; Chordata; Actinopteri; Clupeiformes; Clupeidae
Exons: 4
Source: RefSeq, a predicted model, not a curated record